AUUGAACGCUGGCGGCAGGCCUAACACAUGCAAGUCGAGCGGAUGAAGGGAGCUUGCUCCUGGAUUCAGCGGCGGACGGGUGAGUAAUGCCUAGGAAUCUGCCUGGUAGUGGGGGAUAACGUCCGGAAACGGGCGCUAAUACCGCAUACGUCCUGAGGGAGAAAGUGGGGGAUCUUCGGACCUCACGCUAUCAGAUGAGCCUAGGUCGGAUUAGCUAGUUGGUGGGGUAAAGGCCUACCAAGGCGACGAUCCGUAACUGGUCUGAGAGGAUGAUCAGUAAAACUGGAACUGAGACACGGUCCAGACUCCUAAGGGAGGCAGAAGUGGGGAAUAUUGGACAAUGGGCGAAAGCCUGAUCCAGCCAUGCCGCGUGUGUGAAGAAGGUCUUCGGAUUGUAAAGCACUUUAAGUUGGGAAGAAAGGCAGUAAGUUAAUACCUGGCCGUUUUGACGUUACCAACAGAAUAAGCACCGGCUAACUUCGUG
RNAcentral lists this ribosomal RNA (484 nucleotides) under uncultured bacterium. RNAcentral describes it as "partial 16S ribosomal RNA". It matches the Rfam family "Bacterial small subunit ribosomal RNA", at positions 30 to 507 of the family's 1533-position model. The record is from RNAcentral.